RNAcentral lists this long non-coding RNA (512 nucleotides) under Macaca mulatta (Rhesus monkey). Its description in RNAcentral is "lncRNA (ENSMMUG00000053269.1)". Lineage: Eukaryota; Metazoa; Chordata; Mammalia; Primates; Cercopithecidae. The record is from RNAcentral.
CAUCUGCUACAAGGAAACUUUAUCAACACUAAGAUACGCGGAAAGGGCUAAAAAGAUCCGGAACAAAGCAGUGGUCAACACCUGGACACUGAUGAGAGAGUCAAGGGCGGAGAACAGCAAGCUGCUGCCCAGAUGUAGACACUCCAUAAUGUCAGGAUGUUUUCCCUUACCGGAUUUGGACAGUGGCCACCUGAUGUCUGCCCGCUGAGGGCUUCCUGCGGCGAGAUGACGCCGGAAGCCCAUUGAGGGUUGGCCACCUCCUCCAAGACGGAGUUCCAUCCUGCCUGUGCAUCACAGCUGCCUGGUGACAGGGCUCCCCCCAACCUCAUAAACCGGAAUCCCAGGCAGCGGUCAGCCCUAAAUCCCCCAACCUCAUAAACCAGAACCCGGGCAGCCGUUAGCACUAAAGUGUCCCAGGUGAUUCCAACAUGCGCAAUUAUCCAGAGCCCCCAUGAUAGGUGAAGGCCUUCGAUUGCAGUUUGGCAGCAUAAAGGUAUAUAUCGUUUUAUGCU